RNAcentral lists this ribosomal RNA (206 nucleotides) under uncultured bacterium. Its description in RNAcentral is "partial 16S ribosomal RNA". It matches the Rfam family "Bacterial small subunit ribosomal RNA", at positions 568 to 774 of the family's 1533-position model. The record is from RNAcentral.
CGCGUAGGUGGUUUGUUAAGUUGGAUGUGAAAGCCCCGGGCUCAACCUGGGAACUGCAUCCAAAACUGGCAAGCUAGAGUACGGUAGAGGGUGGUGGAAUUUCCUGUGUAGCGGUGAAAUGCGUAGAUAUAGGAAGGAACACCAGUGGCGAAGGCGACCACCUGGACUGAUACUGCACUGAGGUGCGAAAGCGUGGGGAGCAAACA